UAAUUGGAAUGCACCACAUUUUCUGUUUUGAAGGGAGGCAGUAAGUCUACGUCAAUGUCAGGGUUCCUAGUGACAAGUCACAGAAACAAGCUCUGGCUAACUUGAGCAGCCAAGGAAUUUAUUGGAAAGAUAUCAGGUAGCUUGAGAAUUGAAGAGAGGGUGGCAAACCAGGCUCAUAGGAUGACCAGAACAAGAGGCCAGGCAGUGGGUAUCACAGCCAAGGUCACCCCUCAGGGUCAGUGUGAUGAAGAUGCUGCCAGGCACAGCUGCCCCUGGCCACUCAAUGCCAAAGUCCCACACUCUGCUGGAUGGUGCUGCUGCUGGACUCUCAUCCUUGGGCUCGGCUGUCGGGGGUGGUCUCUCACCUGCCUCUGUGUCCUUGCAUCACUCUCUGUGACCUGAAGUCUCAGAAGAAGCAUUCCAUGAGCUGAGCUGGGUCAGAUGUCUGAGAUCCAGCGUGGUUGGCAGGCGGGGUGCGGGGCAGAGAGAAAGUCUCUGGUCUUCUCAGACUGCAGAUUGGGAAGAAGAUCCCUACCUAUAAGCAAGAUUUACAAAGGCAAAUUCCCCCAUCCCACCUUUGGAGUCUCCCCAAAUAUGAAGGUGGUAGAAUGCUGAAUAAUUGAAAACAAACCAACAAACGAAAACAACAGAAAAUCUAUGACAUCAGGAAAAUCCAGGAAAAGUGUCCAUCCCAGAUGCCUGCUCUUCUCCUCUUUCUGGAGUCACCAUCCUCUACUUGGUCUGCCUUCUCCUUUGCUCUCCUCCAUCCCCAUCACUUCCCCAUGCUGGAGGGAACAGUGUUUCCAAGAAGGACUACAAGGUCAAAUGAUUCUCUUACAGCUCAGCUUACUUCAGUCACCACCAGAUUCACCCUGCAACCCUUGAGCAUCUGCUCUCUCCAAUUAGAAUAAAAUCCAACUGCUUAUUUUUUUAUUACGAUAAAAUGCACAUAACAUAAAACUGACCAUUUUAGCCAUUUUUAAAAUAUCCAAUUCACAGCCACUCCCCAUCCU
Molecule: long non-coding RNA, 1013 nt
Filed under: Equus caballus (horse)
Lineage: Eukaryota; Metazoa; Chordata; Mammalia; Perissodactyla; Equidae
Description: lncRNA (ENSECAG00000051915.1)
Source: RNAcentral